GACCACGAUCCAACCCUAAAUACUAAUACCAGAUCGAUAGUGCACAAGUACCGUGAGGGAAAGGUGAAAAGAACUGAGGUGAUCAGAGUGAAAUAGAACCUGAAACCAUUUGCUUACAAUCAUUCAGAGCCCUAUGUAGCAAUACAGGGUGAUGGACUGCCUUUUGCAUAAUGAGCCUGCGAGUUGUGGUGUCUGGCAAGGUUAAGCAAACGCGAAGCCGUAGCGAAAGCGAGUCUGAAUAGGGCGCUUAGUCAGAUGCUGCAGACCCGAAACGAAGUGAUCUAUCCAUGAGCAAGUUGAAGCUAGUGUAAGAACUAGUGGAGGACUGAACCCAUAGGCGUUGAAAAGCCCCGGGAUGACUUGUGGAUAGGGGUGAAAGGCCAAUCAAACUUCGUGAUAGCUGGUUCUCUCCGAAAUAUAUUUAGGUAUAGCGUUGUGUCGUAAUAUAAGGGGGUAGAGCACUGAAUGGGCUAGGGCAUACACCAAUGUACCAAACCCUAUCAAACUCCGAAUACCUUAUAUGUAAUCACAGCAGUCAGGCGGCGAGUGAUAAAAUCCGUCGUCAAGAGGGAAACAACCCAGACUACCAGCUAAGGUCCCUAAAUCUUACUUAAGUGGAAAACGAUGUGAAGUUACUUAAACAACCAGGAGGUUGGCUUAGAAGCAGCCAUCCUUUAAAGAAAGCGUAAUAGCUCACUGGUCUAGUGAUUUUGCGCGGAAAAUAUAACGGGGCUAAAGUAA
RNAcentral lists this ribosomal RNA (741 nucleotides) under Campylobacter coli. Its description in RNAcentral is "partial 23S ribosomal RNA". It matches the Rfam family "Bacterial large subunit ribosomal RNA", at positions 451 to 1190 of the family's 2925-position model. Lineage: Bacteria; Pseudomonadati; Campylobacterota; Epsilonproteobacteria; Campylobacterales; Campylobacteraceae. The record is from RNAcentral.